AAUCCAUAGGUUAAUGAGGCGAACCGGGGGAACUGAAACAUCUAAGUACCCCGAGGAAAAGAAAUCAACCGAGAUUCCCCCAGUAGCGGCGAGCGAACGGGGAGGAGCCCAGAGCCUGAAUCAGCAUGUGUGUUAGUGGAAGCGUCUGGAAAGGCGCGCGAUACAGGGUGACAGCCCCGUACACAAAAGCGCAUGUGCUGUGAGCUCGAUGAGUAGGGCGGGACACGUGGUAUCCUGUCUGAAUAUGGGGGGACCAUCCUCCAAGGCUAAAUACUCCUGACUGACCGAUAGUGAACCAGUACCGUGAGGGAAAGGCGAAAAGAACCCCGGCGAGGGGAGUGAAAAAGAACCUGAAACCGUGUACGUACAAGCAGUGGGAGCACAGGUUUACCUGUGUGACUGCGUACCUUUUGUAUAAUGGGUCAGCGACUUAUAUUCUGUAGCAAGGUUAACCGAAUAGGGGAGCCGGAGGGAAACCGAGUCUUAAUUGGGCGUUAAGUUG
Molecule: ribosomal RNA, 502 nt
Filed under: Salmonella enterica subsp. enterica serovar Infantis
Lineage: Bacteria; Pseudomonadati; Pseudomonadota; Gammaproteobacteria; Enterobacterales; Enterobacteriaceae
Also listed under: 1 other name
Description: partial 23S ribosomal RNA
Rfam family: Bacterial large subunit ribosomal RNA
Source: RNAcentral